GAUAAAUAAAAUAUUACAAAUAUUGAGGAAUGACCGUUUCCCAUUAAAACAUGAUUGAAUUGGCACGUCUUCUACAAAGCCCUCUUGUGUAAGGUUUAAUGAUUAUGUAUAAUUGUGCAAGAACAGCCCUAUUUUGCAAGAUGGUGAUGUGCUCAUAUGCACUGAUAUAAAUAAAGAAAGAAAGAAAGAGUGGUUUUAUACACACAAGGAUAAAGGCCGUUACCCAUAGAAAUCCUCUGUCCUUUAAUUCAGGCAUGAUUGACCCUUAAUAAAAAAUUAGAGUAGUUUCAUUGAGUUGUGGUAUGUUGGCUAUUUUGCCUAUCCUAUUGCCAUGUGUGUUAUGUUGUGUUUGAAUUAAAACAGCACGCAAUACAAAAUAACUUGUUUACAGCAUACCUUUUUAAGCAAAAGAAAAAAAUUUAAUGCCACUUGUGUAAAUGAAAGUGGUAGAAUGUACAGUUUAAAAACUGCACUGGAGAGGAG
Molecule: non-coding RNA, 483 nt
Organism: Pelobates cultripes (western spadefoot toad)
Lineage: Eukaryota; Metazoa; Chordata; Amphibia; Anura; Pelobatidae
Source: the annotation of a GenBank genome assembly